Mus caroli (Ryukyu mouse) is the source of this 642-nucleotide non-coding RNA. NCBI's taxonomy places the organism in Eukaryota, Metazoa, Chordata, Mammalia, Rodentia, Muridae. The record is from RefSeq and is a predicted model, not a curated record.
AUACUUACACCAUCUGACACAGACCAGGAUCUGGGAUCUUUCUCCUCUCUAGCAACACAUGUCCAGAAAUGUGUUGCUGUCACUCAUAAGAGAAUCUGAUGACAAAGUAGUUACACGAAUCUGUCCUUAACUGUAAGAGGCUCUUAUGAUCUUAUGAGAGUUCUGGAUACCUUUCAAUCUAGAGCUAUGUAGCUAGUGAUGACCGUGAACUGCAAAUCUUCCUGUUUCCACCUUCCAAGUGCUGGGAUGACAGAUGUCUGACAGCAUACCUAGUUGAUAUGAUGCUGGAGACUGAACCAAAGGCUUUCAACACAGGCCGACAUGCUAAGCACUUUCCAUUUUGAUGACAUUACUGCUGGCAAUGCUACCGUACAGUACAGCUCAUUAUAAAUCACAGCAGAAGAUCAGAAAGCACUAUCAAUUCAUAAAGAAAACAACUGAGGGACUGGAGAGAUGACUCAGCAGGUAAGAUCACUGGCUGCUUUUCCAGAGGACCUGGGUUUGAUUUCUAACCCCAAAUGGUGGCUCACAAUGGGUCCUGUCCUCUUCUCGUCUCUCUGGGAACCAGGCAUGCUCAUGGUAUACAGACAUACAUACAGGCAAAACAUCCAUAGGAAUAAAAUGAAAUAGUGAUAAUGGUCU